UGACUGGGGCGGUCUCCUCCCAAAGCGUAACGGAGGAGCACGAAGGUUAGCUAAUCCUGGUCGGACAUCAGGAGGUUAGUGCAAUGGCAUAAGCUAGCUUGACUGCGAGCGUGACGGCGCGAGCAGGUGCGAAAGCAGGUCAUAGUGAUCCGGUGGUUCUGAAUGGAAGGGCCAUCGCUCAACGGAUAAAAGGUACUCCGGGGAUAACAGGCUGAUACCGCCCAAGAGUUCAUAUCGACGGCGGUGUUUGGCACCUCGAUGUCGGCUCAUCACAUCCUGGGGCUGAAGUAGGUCCCAAGGGUAUGGCUGUUCGCCAUUUAAAGUGGUACGCGAGCUGGGUUUAGAACGUCGUGAGACAGUUCGGUCCCUAUCUGCCGUGGGCGCUGGAGAAUUGAGGGGGGCUGCUCCUAGUACGAGAGGACCGGAGUGGACGCAUCACUGGUGUUCGGGUUGUCAUGCCAAUGGCACUGCCCGGUAGCUAAAUGCGGAAGAGAUAAGUGCUGAAAGCAUCUAAGCACGAAACUUGCCCCGAGAUGAGUUCUCCCUGAGACUU
This 553-nucleotide ribosomal RNA is filed under the name Klebsiella pneumoniae. RNAcentral describes it as "partial 23S ribosomal RNA". It matches the Rfam family "Bacterial large subunit ribosomal RNA", at positions 2270 to 2823 of the family's 2925-position model. RNAcentral also lists the same sequence under 2 other names. The record is from RNAcentral. Lineage: Bacteria; Pseudomonadati; Pseudomonadota; Gammaproteobacteria; Enterobacterales; Enterobacteriaceae.